RNAcentral lists this ribosomal RNA (253 nucleotides) under uncultured prokaryote. Its description in RNAcentral is "partial 16S ribosomal RNA". It matches the Rfam family "Bacterial small subunit ribosomal RNA", at positions 524 to 776 of the family's 1533-position model. The record is from RNAcentral.
UACAGAGGCCUCGAGCGUUGCGCGGAAUCACUGGGCUUAAAGGGUGCGUAGGCGGAUGUGCAAGUGCCUUGUGAAAUCCCAGAGCUCAACUCUGGAACUGCUUGGUAGACUGCACGUCUUGAGGUCGGUAGAGGUCGCUGGAACGGUUGGUGGAGCGGUGAAAUGCGUAGAUAUCAACCGGAACGCCCAAGGUGAAGACAAGCGACUGGGCCGAAACUGACGCUGAGGCACGAAAGCGUGGGGAUCAAACGGG